Molecule: long non-coding RNA, 1891 nt
Filed under: Homo sapiens (human)
Lineage: Eukaryota; Metazoa; Chordata; Mammalia; Primates; Hominidae
Description: HSALNT0392814
Source: RNAcentral
CCCUGUGGAAACUACAUGGCCACGGCAGUCACGCCUAGAAUCCUUUGUGCGGUGUUCACAUAGAAUGCUUUGGCCCCCAUUGUGCCACUCAGGGCACCUGCCUUGAAAUACCCGCGACGCUCGGAUCGGAGUCUGACGAUGGUCAGCAGGUGGCACUCUCGUUUUAGGAUUCCAGCCCCUAAUUCUUUCAGAGUAAAUACUGAAAAGUCAAAGGACCUGUCAAGAUCAUCGGCCAUGACAGUGGCUGGAUGGAGGCCACCUCAUCCAUCUGGUCCUGGCAUUUCUGAGAAAGGACCAUGCUGAACCAUGCAGAGCAAAUUUGCAAGUGCUAUCUCAUGGACUGCCUCAUUGGUUGUCACAAUAAUACUGUGAGUUGGGAUUCCAUUUGAGAACCAACUCUAGUCAGCCUUCAGGCUGGUCCAUGAUCAAGGACCUACAAGACGAAGUGACAGCCCAGUGACUCUACAAGUUCACCUGUCCCUCAUCUCCACAGCCCUGCAGCAUCAAUGGGCAUGCUGUGAAUGCUGGAGGACUGACCAGCAUGCCCCGAUUGUUCUCUAUUACUUGGAGUGUUAAGUCUUAUCUCCUUGGCUAGAUUGAAAGAAUCGGGAAUAGAAGCUAUAUGCUAGAAAGCCAUGCACAGCCAGCCACUGUGGCUGUCCUACCUGGUAGCCCAGCUCACAUGAGACUGACCCAGGACACCACGGGACCACUCCAGACCCCCUGUUAACCUUUCCUGGCACAUCCAAGCAAAGGGCUGAUACUCACUGCAAGGUGGUGCCCCACCUUUCCACAGCCCAUCACCACCACCACCCUCUUCUCCAGAAUCUAGCUCUUUAGGCUAAUAUGGAAAUGAAGAAAAGAGGAUUUGUCCACGCAUGUGACUGAGGAGAUAGUUGGAGAGAUGGUCUUAGGGAAAGGUGGGUACAGUGAGGCAAAUGUCACCGUUUUCUCUCUCUCUCUCUCUCUCCCAGUCUAUCUUUGCUUAUCUUCGUAAAUUGGCUUCUUUCCCUCACCCUAAUCCAAACAGAUUAGAUCUAUUUGUCAUGGGGUACUGCUAAAACCAGGCUUAUGUCCUGUCAAGAGUAGCAACCCCAGAGGAAAGAGCCGCUCACUCCUGCUUCAGUAUAGAGAAUUCCCAGGGCCAAUUCUCAUUGGCCCAGCUUGGGUGACAUUUCCCUACUUUGACCUGUCAUCAGGUGUGAGGCUGGUGUUAGGAUUUUGCAGGGCGGUUAGUCGGGUGUUCAGGAAUAUGAUUGGAAUCCCCACCACAAACCCAGAAUCAACAGGAGCUGGGGCAAAUCAACAGGAGCUGGGGCAAAUCAGCAGGAACUGGGGCAAGGCAGUCUUCCAAAGGAAGGGACUAUUGAUGAUGCAGACACCAACUGUCUACCAUGAUGGUUUGUUCUGAAGAGUAACAUAUGAUUUGUGCAGCAGAAUUCCUCAUAAUAAUGAAGAAAACAAUGAGAGAUCAUGAAUGUUUGACCCCAUAUAUACACACACGUCUGCACAACUACCUACUGGCAAAUUCUCCUGGGGUGAGCAGUGGAAUUCAGUUCAGAAGUGAUCUUUUUUGGCAGAAACAAGUCAGGAGGAAUUCUACGUGAACACCAUCGGCCCUUGGUGUUAUGCCUGGCUCAAGCCAGCAUUAUCUGUCAUUCAGUUUCAGGAGCAUCUGACACACCUUUUCAUGCUGAGAGCUAAUUGCCCUAUUUUCAAACCUGGACCUGUCCCUCCAGUGAUAUUUUUCCAAUUGCAGUGAUAUAUUUGUGUAGCCAGCAAGCACUGCCAAAGCUAUAGCUAUUCUGGAGUGUCGUUGGGGUAGGGAGCAGGGGAAUUAUGCAGCAAUACAGUAAACAAAAGUAAAGCCUCUCUGAAUAAAAAGUUACAA